CCCUUAGAUGUUCUGGGCCGCACGCGCGCUACACUGAUGCAUUCAACGAGUUUCUUCCUGGUCCGAGAGGAAUGGGUAACCUUUUGAAAGUGCAUCGUGAUAGGGAUAGACUAGUGCAAUUAUUGGUCUUCAACGAGGAAUUCCUAGUAGACGUAGUUCAUCAGACUGCAUCGAUUACGUCCCUGCCCUUUGUACACACCGCCCGUCGCUCCUACCGAUUGAAUGCUCAGGUGAGCCAUUCGGACUUUCAUCAUGCUGGUUUCCAGUUUUGAUGAAGGAAAGUCUUGCGAACCUUAUCAUUUAGAGGAAGGAGAAGUCGUAACA
RNAcentral lists this ribosomal RNA (324 nucleotides) under uncultured eukaryote. Its description in RNAcentral is "partial 18S ribosomal RNA". It matches the Rfam family "Eukaryotic small subunit ribosomal RNA", at positions 1470 to 1796 of the family's 1831-position model. The record is from RNAcentral.